Molecule: ribosomal RNA, 765 nt
Filed under: uncultured Streptococcus sp.
Lineage: Bacteria; Bacillati; Bacillota; Bacilli; Lactobacillales; Streptococcaceae
Description: bacterial SSU rRNA
Rfam family: Bacterial small subunit ribosomal RNA
Source: RNAcentral
GAUGAACGCUGGCGGCGUGCCUAAUACAUGCAAGUAGAACGCUGAAGCUUGGUGCUUGCACCGAGCGGAUGAGUUGCGAACGGGUGAGUAACGCGUAGGUAACCUGCCUCUUAGCGGGGGAUAACUAUUGGAAACGAUAGCUAAUACCGCAUAAAAGUCGACAUCGCAUGAUGUUGACUUGAAAGGUGCAAAUGCAUCACUAAGAGAUGGACUUGCGUUGUAUUAGCUAGUUGGUGAGGUAACGGCUCACCAAGGCGACGAUACAUAGCCGACCUGAGAGGGUGAUCGGCCACACUGGGACUGAGACACGGCCCAGACUCCUACGGGAGGCAGCAGUAGGGAAUCUUCGGCAAUGGGGGCAACCCUGACCGAGCAACGCCGCGUGAGUGAAGAAGGUUUUCGGAUCGUAAAGCUCUGUUGUAAGAGAAGAACGAGUGUGAGAGUGGAAAGUUCACACUGUGACGGUAACUUACCAGAAAGGGACGGCUAACUACGUGCCAGCAGCCGCGGUAAUACGUAGGUCCCGAGCGUUAUCCGGAUUUAUUGGGCGUAAAGCGAGCGCAGGCGGUUAGAUAAGUCUGAAGUUAAAGGCUGUGGCUUAACCAUAGUACGCUUUGGAAACUGUUUAACUUGAGUGCAGAAGGGGAGAGUGGAAUUCCAUGUGUAGCGGUGAAAUGCGUAGAUAUAUGGAGGAACACCGGUGGCGAAAGCGGCUCUCUGGUCUGUAACUGACGCUGAGGCUCGAAAGCGUGGGGAGCAAACAGG